RNAcentral lists this ribosomal RNA (179 nucleotides) under uncultured bacterium. RNAcentral's name for it is "partial 16S ribosomal RNA". It matches the Rfam family "Bacterial small subunit ribosomal RNA", at positions 332 to 526 of the family's 1533-position model. The record is from RNAcentral.
AUUACUCCUACGGGAGGCAGCAGUGGGGAAUAUUGCACAAUGGGGGAAACCCUGAUGCAGCGACGCCGCGUGAGUGAAGAAGUAUUUCGGUAUGUAAAGCUCUAUCAGCAGGGAAGAAAAUGACGGUACCUGACUAAGAAGCUCCGGCUAAAUACGUGCCAGCAGCCGCGGUAAUAAUC